CUGUGGUCAUCAAGGUCCCAGCUGGUACAUUGAUCUUGAAGUGUGGGGUUAUCUAGGUCCAAGCUGGUACAUUGAUCUAGAGGUCUGGGGUUAUCUAGGUCCAAGCUGGUACAUUGAUCUAGAGGUCUGUGGUUAUCAAGGUCCCAGGUGGUACAUUGAUCUAGAGGUCUGGGGUUAUCUAGGUCCAAG
Long non-coding RNA from Haliotis rubra (blacklip abalone), 189 nucleotides. RefSeq lists it as uncharacterized. Lineage: Eukaryota; Metazoa; Mollusca; Gastropoda; Lepetellida; Haliotidae. The record is from RefSeq and is a predicted model, not a curated record. The transcript has 4 exons.